Molecule: transfer RNA, 71 nt
Filed under: Candidatus Staskawiczbacteria bacterium RIFCSPHIGHO2_01_FULL_37_17
Lineage: Bacteria; Candidatus Staskawicziibacteriota
Also listed under: 12 other names
Description: tRNA-Pro
Rfam family: tRNA
About the family: Transfer RNA (tRNA) molecules are approximately 80 nucleotides in length. Their secondary structure includes four short double-helical elements and three loops (D, anti-codon, and T loops). Further hydrogen bonds mediate the characteristic L-shaped molecular structure. tRNAs have two regions of fundamental functional importance: the anti-codon, which is responsible for specific mRNA codon recognition, and the 3' end, to which the tRNAs corresponding amino acid is attached (by aminoacyl-tRNA synthetases). tRNAs cope with the degeneracy of the genetic code in two manners: having more than one tRNA (with a specific anti-codon) for a particular amino acid; and 'wobble' base-pairing, i.e. permitting non-standard base-pairing at the 3rd anti-codon position.
Source: RNAcentral
CGGGGAAUGGUCCAAUGGCAGGAUUCACGCAUGGGGUGCGUGCGGCGGGAGUUCGAUUCUCCCUUCCCCGA